Molecule: ribosomal RNA, 495 nt
Filed under: Carassius auratus (goldfish)
Lineage: Eukaryota; Metazoa; Chordata; Actinopteri; Cypriniformes; Cyprinidae
Description: partial 16S ribosomal RNA
Rfam family: Bacterial large subunit ribosomal RNA
Source: RNAcentral
CGGCCGCGGUAUUUUGACCGUGCAAAGGUAGCGCAAUCACUUGUCUUUUAAAUAGAGACCUGUAUGAAUGGCUAAACGAGGGCUUAACUGUCUCCCCUUUCCAGUCAGUGAAAUUGAUCUACCCGUGCAGAAGCGGGUAUAAUAAUACAAGACGAGAAGACCCUUUGGAGCUUAAGGUACAAAACUCAACCACGUUAAGCAACUCAAUAAAAAGUGAAAACUUUGUGGAACAUGAGAUUUUACCUUCGGUUGGGGCGACCACGGAGGAAAAAAGAGCCUCCAGGUGGAACGGGAGAAUUUCCUAAAACUAAGAGAGACAUCUCUAAGCCACAGAACAUCUGACCAAAUAUGAUCCGGCUAAUACAAGCCGAUCAACGAACCAAGUUACCCUAGGGAUAACAGCGCAAUCCUCUCCCAGAGUCCAUAUCGACGAGGGGGUUUACGACCUCGAUGUUGGAUCAGGACAUCCUAAUGGUGCAGCCGCUAUUAAGGGUU